UACAAAAAGCCAGGACACUCACUGUCAGCUGGGCUGCCACCACAACAAACUGUUGUAUUUGAAAGACAUUUGACAGAUUUUUAUUUUACAAACAAGGUGACGUAGCGUUACAGCUGCUGCCAGUGCUGUUCCCAACUGCCCUUUACAAAGUGGGGAAGCACAGAAUCAGAUUGGAACGAACAUGGUGGAUUACCUGACAUGACCAACAACGGAGUACCCAUAUGUCCUUAUGCUGGGGGAGGACCAUCAGCGUUCCCAAGCAUUUGUUGUCCUAAACGGUACAGCCUUGCAGCAGCCAUCUCUUUUAGGUGCGGCUGAUGUCUGUUUCAAGGCAUUUUUUGUUAUUGAUCUUAGCUACCCAAAAGCAUAUGCACAGGUUUGGGAGUUUAUUCAGAAAGUUCUUUAGCAUCCCAGAGAAUGAAUCAAAUGCAAUAAAAUUAAUGCGAGCCCAA
This is a long non-coding RNA of Micropterus salmoides (largemouth bass), 452 nucleotides long. RefSeq lists it as uncharacterized. NCBI's taxonomy places the organism in Eukaryota, Metazoa, Chordata, Actinopteri, Centrarchiformes, Centrarchidae. The transcript is spliced from 2 exons. The record is from RefSeq and is a predicted model, not a curated record.